AUUCCUACGGGAGGCAGCAGUAGGGAAUCUUCCGCAAUGGACGAAAGUCUGACGGAGCAACGCCGCGUGAGUGAAGAAGGUUUUCGGAUCGUAAAACUCUGUUGUGAGGGAAGAACAAGUAUCAACUAACUAUUGGUACCUUGACGGUACCUCACCAGAAAGCCACGGCUAACUACGUGCCAGCAGCCGCGGUAAUACGUAGGUGGCAAGCGUUGUCCGGAAUUAUUGGGCGUAAAGCGCGCGCAGGCGGUCCUUUAGGUCUGAUGUGAAAGCCCACGGCUCAACCGUGGAGGGUCAUUGGAAACUGGGGACUUGAGUGCAGAAGAGGAAAGUGGAAUUCCACGUGUAGCGGUGAAAUGCGUAGAGAUGUGGAGGAACACCAGUGGCGAAGGCGCUCUGCUGGGCCAUCACUGACGCUCAUGGACGAAAGCCAGGGGAGCGAAAGGGAUUAGAUACCCCUGUAGUCCUGGCCGUAAACGAUGAACACUAGGUGUCGGGGGAAUCGACCCCCUCGGUGUCGUAGCCAACGCGUUAAGUGUUCCGCCUGGGGAGUACGCACGCAAGUGUGAAACUCAAAGGAAUUGACGGAAU
RNAcentral lists this ribosomal RNA (591 nucleotides) under uncultured bacterium. RNAcentral describes it as "bacterial SSU rRNA". It matches the Rfam family "Bacterial small subunit ribosomal RNA", at positions 335 to 919 of the family's 1533-position model. The record is from RNAcentral.